Molecule: ribosomal RNA, 484 nt
Filed under: uncultured bacterium
Lineage: Bacteria
Description: partial 16S ribosomal RNA
Rfam family: Bacterial small subunit ribosomal RNA
Source: RNAcentral
AUUGAACGCUGGCGGAAUGCUUUACACAUGCAAGUCGAGCGGCAGCACGGGGGCAACCCUGGUGGCGAGCGGCGAACGGGUGAGUAAUACAUCGGAACAUGCCCAGUCGUGGGGGAUAACACUUCGAAAGAAGUGCUAAUACCGCAUACGUCCUGAGGGGGAAAGCGGGGGAUCGCAAGACCUCGCGCGAUUGGAGUGGCCGAUGUCAGAUUAGCUAGUUGGUGGGGUAAAGGCCUACCAAGGCAACGAUCUGUAGCUGGUCUGAGAGGAUGAUCAGCCACGCUGGGACUGAGACACGGCCCAGACUCCUACGGGAGGCAGCAGUGGGGAAUUUUGGACAAUGGGGGCAACCCUGAUCCAGCCAUUCCGCGUGAGUGAAGAAGGCCUUCGGGUUGUAAAGCUCUUUCGGCAGGAACGAAACGGUGAGCCCUAACAUAGCUUGCUAAUGACGGUACCUGAAGAAGAAGCACCGGCUAACUACGUG